Molecule: long non-coding RNA, 441 nt
Organism: Oncorhynchus tshawytscha (Chinook salmon)
Lineage: Eukaryota; Metazoa; Chordata; Actinopteri; Salmoniformes; Salmonidae
Source: Ensembl
CAGGGACCAGCCAUUACAGAUGGAGGUUAGUGGUCAGGGACCAGCCAUUACUGAUGGAGGGUAGUGGUCAGGGACCAGCCAUUACUGAUGGAGGUUAGUGGUCAGGGACCAGUCAUUACUGAUGGAGGUUAGUGGUCAGGGACCAGCCAUUACUGAUGGAGGUUAGUGGUCAGGGACCAGUCAUUACUGGUGGAGGGUAGUGGUCAGGGACCAGCCAUUACUGAUGGAGGGUAGUGGUCAGGGCCCAGUCAUUACUGAUGGAGGUUAGUGGUCAGGGACCAGCCAUUACUGAUGGAGGUUAGUGGUCAAGGACCAGUCAUUACUGAUGGAGGUUAGUGGUCAGGGCCCAGUCAUUACUGAUGGAGGUUAGUGGUCAGGGACCAGCCAUUACUGAUGGAGGUUAGUGGUCAAGGACCAGUCAUUACUGAUGGAGGUUAGUGG